CCUAUUCUGUUCACAAAAUAUCAAGCAGUAUUCCAUGAUGUGAGAUAGUUAUGUUAUGACUAUUUACCUUGUUCCCGAUAAUGCAGUAACUAAACUAGUGUUGUUGCAAUUAAAUAGAGUGCUAUUGAUGGAAUCAUUGAUUGCUCAGUCACAUGUGUCAUAUUCAUCAGCAAAGAGCAGAUUGGAAGCUGAAAUAUUGAAAUUGUAGAUGAAUAACUGAGUUUUAUCUUACUGCAUAUUUAGUUUUUCUUUUUUAGUUUAAAAGUUAAAAAUCCCUUUACAGUGUAUUUUAGCCACUGGAAACAUUUCAAUGCCUUGUAUUCUGGUACCGGUAUUGAUAAAAUGUAUUUCUACUUAUCAGUGAAUUUUGAACAAAAAGAAUUUUUGAGAGUCUCAAACCAUACCAAUCAAUUUUAAAAGUUACAUACAUAUUUCCUCCAAAUUACAGCACAAUGCAACUGACUUCAAUCCUUUAUAUCAACCUAGCUACUGUUGUACAUGACCUUCAGUUAUCAGUAGUAAUAACUUUCAGUAGCUGAGCAAUGUAGUAUAUAAAAAUCAGUUGAUAUAUCGUACAAAUGCUCUUAAUGACCAAGUUUAAAAAGAAUGCUACAGAUUAUUAAGGACUUAAUUUACCAACCAAUCACUGAAAUUAACCUGAAACUAUAGGCGUAUUCAGGGUAAAGGGGUUUGGAGAUUGUAACCCCACCCUAUUGAUAUAAAUAUUCAAGGUUCAACGUAGUUGCUUCUAAGAAACUGCUAAAUAAAAGCCAAAUAUCUUAUGUGAAAGAUCAACAAACAUAUUGUCUAUAGUGUACUUCUCCUUUCAGAUCUCAGGUUGAUGCCUGUAAUAGUUGGUCUAGAACUGUAACCCAAACGAAUGUCUAAUAGGCAAUAGAGGUCACUAGUAUGAUGAUAUUAAAAUCAUCAAAAAACUAAAUAAAUUUAUCUUUCGUCGAUUUAUA
Homalodisca vitripennis (glassy-winged sharpshooter) is the source of this 965-nucleotide long non-coding RNA. RefSeq lists it as uncharacterized. The record is from RefSeq and is a predicted model, not a curated record. The transcript is spliced from 2 exons. Lineage: Eukaryota; Metazoa; Arthropoda; Insecta; Hemiptera; Cicadellidae.